Molecule: long non-coding RNA, 1144 nt
Organism: Physeter macrocephalus (sperm whale)
Lineage: Eukaryota; Metazoa; Chordata; Mammalia; Artiodactyla; Physeteridae
Exons: 4
Source: RefSeq, a predicted model, not a curated record
UGGCCACCACCAGCUGAACCACUCCGGUGGCUGAGCGAAGGAUGGCCACAGCUUCCUCGUGGGAGAGCCCGACUAGCGACACCCCCUUGCCCGGAUUUCCUCUGUGGCGCCUGUGGCACUACACCGUGUGUGUCUGUAACCCCGCCCCCAAGAGCUACAGGGCCUCGAGGGCAAAGUCUCACAACGCCGCCUCCUCCUCGUGUGCCUACCACCAAGCUUCAUAAGCAGGAGGGACAGAAAAAUGAACAAGGAAACUGCCUAAGUUACUGCUUGCUGUUGCAGGCUUUAACAGAAGACAGGAGGCACCAGAGACUCUGACAGCCUCUGCUUUCUGUUCUUCAAAAAUCCCUAAAGCAGAGAAAUGCUAAGAACCCCAGGAUGUUGCUCAGGAUGGAAAGAGAAGGGAAGAGGAAAACCACAGAGAACAAGCAAACUGGAACGUCAAAGAGAAACAGCCUUCCUGGCCUUCAGAGUCUCUCCCAGCUCCACGACUUCCAAGAAGCCAUCCUUGAGAAUCAGUGCUACCACGAGAUAGCAACCUUCCGUGCUUCCACUACACGAGACCCUAUGGCUAUCGGAGGACCCCGGAGAGAGCAAAGGCAGGCGUUCUCCGGUUAGCUGUUAUCCCGGCAUGCUGGGCGUCCCACACUGGCACGUGGGCCAGCCCCGCGGCUGCUUCCCUGGGCCUCUCGGUGCAGGUAACAAACGAGCGCCGACGGUGGCUUGACUUUUUUCCUUGCAAGAUAUGCCAUGGCUCCUGGGGUCUUGAAGAUGUGGGACAGUGUUCCUCCUUCUCCCAGUACAGAAAAGCUGUAGAACUCUUUCCCAAGAACAACACGGACCAUUGUGAGAGCCCAGAAAUAAGAAAACCCUUUUAGUUUUAGCCCAAAUUAGUUAAAACCUAUCCAUCCCUAUUACUAGCUACACCAUCAUUUUCUCCCGUCCGACCCUCCUUUUGCUAGACAGAACCUGUUAAGUAUGGUUCACAGAGGAUGUGACAAUACUAGAUACAGUUCUUUCUAUUUUUUUUUUUUUUUUUUUUUGCGGUACGCGGGCCUCCCUCCGCUGCGGCCUCUCCCGUUGCGGAGCACAGGCUCCGGACGCGCAGGCCCAGCGGCCACGGCUUCACGGGCCCAGCCGCUCC